CUUUAUUAAAGGUGGGCAGAUUUAGUCAUGGUAAAAAAUUACAUUAAAGUGAUAUUCAACAGAGUGUACUUUAUCGUUUUUUAUCUAUAUCCCCAAAUAAAAUGUUGUGUGUGCAAUAAGCUCGGCCUACACUGGGUCUGAAAUGCGUGACCACUUUGUGUUGUGUGACCUAUCGGUGCAGAAGAAGUUCUACAGAGCAGAGCUGUAUAAAACCCUCUGCUGGGGAAAUGCUCACUGAUCUCCACCCCAGAGAUGGGGAUGUGGUUACUCAGCUGCAUGGCAGCCCUGUGCUUCUUAAGACACACGGAUGCUAAAAUCACCCAGACACCAAGCCUAGUACUGAAGAAAGGACAGACUGCCCAGCUGACAUGCAGACAAACUGAUGAUCAUAACUCUAUGUACUGGUAUCAGCAGCAGCAGGGGAAGGGGCUGCAGCUGAUCUAUUACUCAGUUGCUGCAGAGAACAAGGAGAAAGGUGAUAUUAAAGAUGGAUUCACAGCCUCCCGGCCACAGAUUGAAAUCUUUGACUUGAACAUCUCCUCUGUGAAGAUUGAGCACUCAGCUGUGUAUUUCUGUGCCAGCAGUUUAGACACAGUGCUUCAGAGUCACUUCCUCCCUCUACAGAAACCUCCCUCCUUCCCCCAACACUCCCUCAGAGAGAGCAGCUCCUCCCAUCUCCACAUAAGAGAGAGAUCAGGCUACUAUCAUACAGAAAGAAACAGCUCAUUACGCAUAGAAAUCAUGGCUCUAUAG
Chelonia mydas (Green sea turtle) is the source of this 753-nucleotide non-coding RNA. NCBI's taxonomy places the organism in Eukaryota, Metazoa, Chordata, Testudines, Cheloniidae. The record is from the annotation of a RefSeq genome assembly.